Molecule: ribosomal RNA, 520 nt
Filed under: uncultured Bacillus sp.
Lineage: Bacteria; Bacillati; Bacillota; Bacilli; Caryophanales; Bacillaceae
Description: partial 16S ribosomal RNA
Source: RNAcentral
CACGUAGUUAGCCGUGGCUUUCUGGUUAGGUACCGUCAAGGUACCGGCAGUUACUCCGGUACUUGUUCUUCCCUAACAACAGAGCUUUACGACCCGAAGGCCUUCAUCGCUCACGCGGCGUUGCUCCGUCAGACUUUCGUCCAUUGCGGAAGAUUCCCUACUGCUGCCUCCCGUAGGAGUCUGGGCCGUGUCUCAGUCCCAGUGUGGCCGAUCACCCUCUCAGGUCGGCUACGCAUCGUCGCCUUGGUGAGCCGUUACCUCACCAACUAGCUAAUGCGCCGCGGGCCCAUCUGUAAGUGUCAGCGUAAACCGACUUUCAGCUUUCCCUCAUGAGAGGGAAAGGAUUAUCCGGUAUUAGCACCGGUUUCCCGGUGUUAUCCCAGUCUUACAGGCAGGUUGCCCAGUGUUACUCACCCGUCCGCCGCUAACCAACAGGAGCAAGCUCCUAUUGAUUCGCUCGACUUGCAUGUAUUAGGCACGCCGCCAGCGUUCGUCCUGUAGCCAGGAUCGUAAACUACUC